This 4552-nucleotide long non-coding RNA is filed under the name Nicotiana benthamiana. RNAcentral describes it as "long non-coding RNA (NBEN_LNC011539)". The record is from RNAcentral. Lineage: Eukaryota; Viridiplantae; Streptophyta; Magnoliopsida; Solanales; Solanaceae.
UUGAACACUAUAAAAAUAGUUUUAACUUUAAAUUUAAUAUUAUUUGAAAAUUAGUAGUUUAUUAAAAUUAAUUAGUAAGAGUAAUUUUAUAUCUUUUAUAAGUAUUCAUCUUACUUUUAAAAAACAAAUUGAAUUUUCAGCCCAAUUUUUAUAAGAAACUAGAGCCUAAUUUUGAAGCUUAAAUCCUGUUAGCCCAUACCCCAUUUCCCUUUAAGGAGAUAAAAGAAUCAUAGAUCCUUCUUCUUCCUUAGAGAAGACCCUAAGACUACAACACAAACCCUUGAACCCCUAGUUCUAAGAGACAACAGCUGUCGCUGCCUCCAUCCGCCUUCACCACGCCGCUGCCGGACAGACCCCAUCUCCAGUCAACCACCCUCCCACAGCCCUUCUUCUGAACAUCAGCGACAAGAAGAGACGCGGGAGCUGACCCUUUUUUCUUCUUCUUCUGAACACGAACCCUAAAAACCUUCAAAAAACAAUACGCACAAGAAGACCUUCCCCUCUCUCCAAUUAAAAAAUGGAUUCCACACCUUCAGAGAACCACAUUCCAGCAGAACCCUUCUUCUUCACCAGGCCUACACACCGCCGCACACCAUCAAUGCCUUGACUCCCAAAAUCAGUCGUCCGCCACAAAAGAGAGGAGCACUUCUUUGAAAUUGAUAGAACCUCAGAGGGCAAGCAAUAAUUUCCUGUCCAAAGAAAAACUAUAAAGAGAGGACUAAGGGGAGGGAACAAUUCAUUCUCAUGAAUGAUACAAAACAAAACAGAAGCCAAGAAGGAGUUUAGAAAUAGUUUUCAACCAGCAAAUAGCAACAAACAUCCCUCGGUUAGAACCUCAUCAUUCCUACCAACAUUCUUUGCAUAUUGCUUUUGGAAUUUUGGAGUGUGAAAAUUACUAAUAUUGCCAACUCAACUUUUAUUUGCGGACAAAAAUUCUGCUACUACGACACCACUGUCAAACUGUUGGAAGGGAUAGAGCAAGAUUCUUGUUAGCGGAAACUAUUUCCAUAAAAUUCAAAUUCAUUCCAACAUUCAGAGAGUUUUCCACUAUGUUUUCAGGUUACGAUCCGGGGUUCCGAUAGCAAUCUACUUUCCUGGUAGCACGGAGAUUUUAUUUCCAGUGAGGUCCAUUUCUUAACUUUGUUUUUUAAUUAAUUUUCAAUCUUCCUCCCUAUGUGUUUUGAUAUGCAAAGAAAUUCUGCUUGAUUUUUAGCUCACCCAAUUGUGUGCAUUUGAGGUUUUAUCUUGCAUUUGCGUGCUAAAUGUUUACUGACGUCUGAUUUCUUAGACAAGCAAAGGUACUUAGUUGAUUAAUGACAAAUUGAUUUGGGGCCGGGGUUUCAACAAUAUAAGACAACUAAAAAAAUUGGGUUGGAAAUGAGUAUGUUACUUUACUUUUUUUGUUUUAUUUUUAUUAUAUUGUUUGCUAGGAGCAUGACUAGGCCGUUAAUUUUCUGUUAGGCAAACUUUACGAUUUUUUAUUUCUUUUCUUUUAUUUGAGGUGAGAGGUCCCCACCUUUAGUUAAAAUUUUUCGGGGAAUGCCCCGAAGGAUUUGAAGAUAUUUAUUUUGGGGAAUGCCCCGAAGAAUUUUGUAAACAUUUUGGAGGCCUUGACGAGCAUUGAGGAGGUGCAUAUAGAUUUGUAGCAUUUUUAUUUUUAUUUUAUUUUAUUUUAUUUUAUUUUAUUUUAUUUUCCUUUAUUAGGUGGAGACAACCUCGCUUGUGUACAGUUUUCUUUUUUGUAUUUAUUUUUACCUGGAUUUGAAUAUUUUAAAAGAUAACUUGAUUGAGUACGCAACCGUAGUAGUUACGGGACUUGGGGAAUGCCUAACACCUUCUACUCGAGUCAAAUGAACUCCCUUACCCCAAUCUCUGGUGUAGACUUAGUUUUGGAGUCCAAAGUUGUGACGACCCAAAGACUCAUCACCAGUGUUCUUACUCGUUCUGUGUGUCAAGGCCUUAAAACCCCGUUUAGGGUUGCUUCGAUUUGCGUGUGCAGUCCAAACACAUAGUUGAAAAGCUUAUAUAUGAAUUUUGUGAGAAAAAUGAUGAAUUUUGAUAUUUAUAUGAUUAAUAUUGACUUCGAUCAAUAUUUUGGAUAAACGGACCCAGAUACGUGAUUGACAGUCCCGGAGGAUCCGUAGGAAAAUAUGGGACUUGGGCAUAUGCCCGGAAUCAAAUUCCGAGGUCCCAAACCCAAGAAAUAAAUUUUUGUGUGAAAUUAUUUUCUGAAAUUAAUUAAGAAAAAUGGAAAAGAAAUUUGAUCAGAAGACUAGGGUAUCGAACUCCUAUUUUGUUUCCGAUGCCUGGUAGAAGUCUUACAUGCGAUUUAAGCACCUUUUAUAAAGUUCGGUAGAAAACAGACUUCGUUUGACGUGUUUCGGACUUGAAAUGAAAAAUUUAUGUUUUAUGAAAAUUUGGAAGAAAUUAUUGAUUUUAAGGCGUAAUUUGAUGUAUAUUAUGUUAUUUUGGGGAUUUGAUCGCACGAGUAAGUCUGUAGGAUGCUUUUGAGGUUGUUGCAUAUUUAGUUUGGUGCCCCGAUGGCUCGGGAGAGUUUUGGAUAGGCCACGAGAGAAUUUGGAAGUUAAAAACUCAGCUGAGGCACUUCAGACCUGCAGACUUCGCAUUUGCGAAGCCUGGUUCACUAAAGCGGUAUCGCAAAAGCAAACGGCCCAUCUCAAAUGGGAAAAUUGCCCAGGUCUACACAGCUUUCAAAUGCGAGAUUUUCUUCGCAAAAGUGAAGGCCGCAUAUGCAACUAAGCUGUUCGCAAACGCGAAAGUUGGUAUUUUCUGAUGGGUUCACAAUUGUAAACCCCCGUUCGUAAAUUCCAUAUAUGCAGCUUAACACUUUCACACUUAGAUGAAUUUUAAACCCCCUUUUCUUCAUUCUUUCAAAACCCAAACUCCAUAGGUGAUUUUCCAAGAAAUAUCUUCUCCAAAAAUAUAACUCAAUUUUUACUUAAUUCUUCAAUCUCUAACAUCAUUAAAAAUGUUUUCAUCUUAGAAUCAAAGAUUUUCAUGGGUGAAAAUGAGGAUAUUGGGUAGAACUUAGGUAUUCUUCAAAUUGGGGAUUUGGACAUCAAUUUGAGGUCCGAUUUCAAAACUAAUCAUAGAUAUGGAUUUGUGGGAGAAUGGGUAAUCGGAGUUUGGUCCAAACCUCGGGUUUUGACCACGUGGGCCCGGAGGCGUUUUGGAAAUUUUCAGUAAAACAUUGGAAAAUUUAUUUUAUGCAUUCAAAUUGAUUCAAUCAGCAAUUAUUGAUAUAUUCAAGUAAUUUGUGACUAGAUACGGACGGUUUUGUGGUGGAUUCGAGGGGUAAAGCUAUACUAGAGGCUUGAGUCGAGUUUGAAGCAUCAAGGUAAGUGUUUGGUCUAACUUUGGCUUGAGGGAAUAGGAGUAGAGUCUUAUUUGCUAAUUGCUAUUUGUCGAGUACGGCGUAUAGGCAUGGUGACGAGUAUCUAUACACUGGUGUCUAGCAUGACCGUGUGUCUUUAUAUUGUGAUUUAUCCUGAAUAUUUGUGAUUCUUCCAUGCUUAUUUGAUGAUUUCUAUAUACUGUAAAGAGCAUGAGAAAGAGAUUAUGAUUACUAUACUCCGUGGAGCAUUGGCUCGAGUUGUGUUACGUAUUGAGAAGGUAUAUAAUAUGAAGUAAAUCUUUGGAGCGAUGGCUCGAAUGAUAAACUGAAUUAAAAAGUGAGAAGUGUAAGAAAGAGGAAGAGUUUAUGGUUAUUCCCUUGCCGGGACAUUUUAUUGUUUUUGUUGAUUUUUCUCCCUUGCCGGGAUUUAGUUGUGCUGUGAUAUUCCAUUGCCAGGAUUUCUUUCACUAGUUGUUACCCCUUACCCCUUAUUUGUGACUGUUGUCUGGAUAAGGUUUUAUUAUAUAUAUAUGGAUCGGGUUGCAUGUCGCAACAAUGAUAAUUAUGGAUCGGGUUACACACCACAACAAUACUAUAUAUAUAUAUAUAUAUAUAUAUAUAUAUAUAUAUCGGGUUGCAUGCCGCAAAGUAUUGUUAUGUGAUUGGAUCAGGUUGCGCGCCGCAACAAAUUAUUAAUUAAGUGUGUUUAUUCCGGAUUUAAGUUUAUGUUGGUUGUUCUAUCUCUAAGUUUAGACUUCAUGUUUAUAAGAGUUUCCUCCCCACAACAUGUUCCCCCUCCCUUUAUGAAUUGCUUACUUCUUGUUUAUUUUCCACAAUAUAUAUAUAUUUCAUAACUGCACAGGUUUAUCUGGUAGUCUGGUCUAGCCUCGUUACUACUUCGCCGAUGUUAGGCUAGGUACUUACCAUCACAUGGAGUCGGUUGUGCUGAUGCUACACUCUGUGCAUCGUUUUGCAGAGAUCACGGUGCCGGAGCAGCAGCUUUUGGACAACAGUAGUAGAUUGGGAGCUGACUUCAGUCUAGAGACGCCGAGGUAGCCUUGCUGACGUCCGCAGGCCCGGAGUCUUUUCAAUCUUUAUUUCAAUUUGUUAUCUUUUGUAUCGAAACAAAAAAUUCAUGUUUUAUUCAGACAUUGGGUUUUUGCUUUUCUCUCAGUUAAUUUUAUUUAAGACUUCCGC